RNAcentral lists this ribosomal RNA (494 nucleotides) under uncultured bacterium. RNAcentral describes it as "partial 16S ribosomal RNA". It matches the Rfam family "Bacterial small subunit ribosomal RNA", at positions 28 to 507 of the family's 1533-position model. The record is from RNAcentral.
GACGAACGCUGGCGGCGUGCUUAACACAUGCAAGUCGAACGGAAAGGCCUGCUUUCCCUUGUGGUUUGCGGGUACUCGAGUGGCGAACGGGUGAGUAACACGUGAGUGAUCUGCCCCCAACUUGGGUAUAAGCCUGGGAAACUGUGUCUAAUUCCCGAUAGGACUGCAGGGUGGUGCCUGUGGUGGCAAACGAUUUUCUAGUGGUUGGGGAUGAGCUCGCGGCGUAUCAGCUUGUUGGUGGGGUAAUGGCCUACCAAGGCGGGGACGGGUAGCCGGCCUGAGAGGGGGGACGGCCACAUUGGGACUGAGAUACGGCCCAGACUCCUACGGGAGGCAGCAGUGGGGAAUAUUGCACAAUGGGCGGAAGCCUGAUGCAGCGACGCCGCGUGGAGGAUGACGGCCUUCGGGUUGUAAACUCCUUGCGACCGCGAGGAAGCCACCUGGUUGGAAGGGUGGUGACGGUAGUGGUAGAAGAAGCACCGGCUAACUACGUG